UACGAGGGGGGCAAGCGUUGUUCGGAAUUAUUGGGCGUAAAGGGCGCGUAGGCGGUUUGGCAAGUCUUAUGUGAAAUCUACAGGCUCAACUUGUAGUCUGCAUGAGAAACUGCCGGGCUUGAGUAUGGGAGAGGUGAGUGGAAUUCCUGGUGUAGCGGUGAAAUGCGUAGAUAUCAGGAGGAACACCUGUGGCGAAAGCGGCUCACUGGACCAUAACUGACGCUGAUGCACGAAAGCUAGGGGAGCAAACAGG
Molecule: ribosomal RNA, 253 nt
Filed under: uncultured bacterium
Lineage: Bacteria
Description: partial 16S ribosomal RNA
Rfam family: Bacterial small subunit ribosomal RNA
Source: RNAcentral